Onychostoma macrolepis is the source of this 400-nucleotide long non-coding RNA. RefSeq lists it as uncharacterized. The transcript is spliced from 3 exons. NCBI's taxonomy places the organism in Eukaryota, Metazoa, Chordata, Actinopteri, Cypriniformes, Cyprinidae. The record is from RefSeq and is a predicted model, not a curated record.
ACUGCAGAGGAUCCAUUGGUGAGCAAGUCAUUUAAUGCCAAAUUUCCUGAUGAAAAAACUAACUAACAGACAUCUUGGAUGGCCUGAGGAGGAAAGAAAGUCAUACAAGUUUGCAACAACAUGAAGGUCGAAUCCCUGCUGUUUUCGUUCUCUUGUAAGAGAGAAACGAAAGAUGCAUUUGUCAUCUGUGACAUCUUCAGCGCAGAGUUCAGCAAUGAAUCUGACAGAGUUGACCUACACCAUCUCAAACGGUCACAGUGUGCACUUACAGUGAGUGCACUUAUGAAAGAGGGCUCUUAGUGCGGAUCUACAGAAAUACUGUCAGCAUACUGUGUGCAUUAAGCACUCUGACCAGCCGUGUGUGUGUGUGUGUGUGUGUGUGGAUUAGCUAAAGCUGGAA